RNAcentral lists this ribosomal RNA (2109 nucleotides) under Escherichia coli. Its description in RNAcentral is "partial 23S ribosomal RNA". It matches the Rfam family "Bacterial large subunit ribosomal RNA", at positions 1 to 2136 of the family's 2925-position model. The record is from RNAcentral. Lineage: Bacteria; Pseudomonadati; Pseudomonadota; Gammaproteobacteria; Enterobacterales; Enterobacteriaceae.
GUUAAGCGACUAAGCGUACACGGUGGAUGCCCUGGCAGUCAGAGGCGAUGAAGGACGUGCUAAUCUGCGAUAAGCGUCGGUAAGGUGAUAUGAACCGUUAUAACCGGCGAUUUCCGAAUGGGGAAACCCAGUGUGUUUCGACACACUAUCAUUAACUGAAUCCAUAGGUUAAUGAGGCGAACCGGGGGAACUGAAACAUCUAAGUACCCCGAGGAAAAGAAAUCAACCGAGAUUCCCCCAGUAGCGGCGAGCGAACGGGGAGCAGCCCAGAGCCUGAAUCAGUGUGUGUGUUAGUGGAAGCGUCUGGAAAGGCGCGCGAUACAGGGUGACAGCCCCGUACACAAAAAUGCACAUGCUGUGAGCUCGAUGAGUAGGGCGGGACACGUGGUAUCCUGUCUGAAUAUGGGGGGACCAUCCUCCAAGGCUAAAUACUCCUGACUGACCGAUAGUGAACCAGUACCGUGAGGGAAAGGCGAAAAGAACCCCGGCGAGGGGAGUGAAAAAGAACCUGAAACCGUGUACGUACAAGCAGUGGGAGCACGCUUAGGCGUGUGACUGCGUACCUUUUGUAUAAUGGGUCAGCGACUUAUAUUCUGUAGCAAGGUUAACCGAAUAGGGGAGCCGAAGGGAAACCGAGUCUUAACUGGGCGUUAAGUUGCAGGGUAUAGACCCGAAACCCGGUGAUCUAGCCAUGGGCAGGUUGAAGGUUGGGUAACACUAACUGGAGGACCGAACCGACUAAUGUUGAAAAAUUAGCGGAUGACUUGUGGCUGGGGGUGAAAGGCCAAUCAAACCGGGAGAUAGCUGGUUCUCCCCGAAAGCUAUUUAGGUAGCGCCUCGUGAAUUCAUCUCCGGGGGUAGAGCACUGUUUCGGCAAGGGGGUCAUCCCGACUUACCAACCCGAUGCAAACUGCGAAUACCGGAGAAUGUUAUCACGGGAGACACACGGCGGGUGCUAACGUCCGUCGUGAAGAGGGAAACAACCCAGACCGCCAGCUAAGGUCCCAAAGUCAUGGUUAAGUGGGAAACGAUGUGGGAAGGCCCAGACAGCCAGGAUGUUGGCUUAGAAGCAGCCAUCAUUUAAAGAAAGCGUAAUAGCUCACUGGUCGAGUCGGCCUGCGCGGAAGAUGUAACGGGGCUAAACCAUGCACCGAAGCUGCGGCAGCGACGCUUAUGCGUUGUUGGGUAGGGGAGCGUUCUGUAAGCCUGUGAAGGUGUGCUGUGAGGCAUGCUGGAGGUAUCAGAAGUGCGAAUGCUGACAUAAGUAACGAUAAAGCGGGUGAAAAGCCCGCUCGCCGGAAGACCAAGGGUUCCUGUCCAACGUUAAUCGGGGCAGGGUGAGUCGACCCCUAAGGCGAGGCCGAAAGGCGUAGUCGAUGGGAAACAGGUUAAUAUUCCUGUACUUGGUGUUACUGCGAAGGGGGGACGGAGAAGGCUAUGUUGACCGGGCGACGGUUGUCCCGGUUUAAGCGUGUAGGCUGGUUUUCCAGGCAAAUCCGGAAAAUCAAGGCUGAGGCGUGAUGACGAGGCACUACGGUGCUGAAGCAACAAAUGCCCUGCUUCCAGGAAAAGCCUCUAAGCAUCAGGUAACAUCAAAUCGUACCCCAAACCGACACAGGUGGUCAGGUAGAGAAUACCAAGGCGCUUGAGAGAACUCGGGUGAAGGAACUAGGCAAAAUGGUGCCGUAACUUCGGGAGAAGGCACGCUGAUAUGUAGGUGAAGCGACUUGCUCGUGGAGCUGAAAUCAGUCGAAGAUACCAGCUGGCUGCAACUGUUUAUUAAAAACACAGCACUGUGCAAACACGAAAGUGGACGUAUACGGUGUGACGCCUGCCCGGUGCCGGAAGGUUAAUUGAUGGGGUCAGCGCAAGCGAAGCUCUUGAUCGAAGCCCCGGUAAACGGCGGCCGUAACUAUAACGGUCCUAAGGUAGCGAAAUUCCUUGUCGGGUAAGUUCCGACCUGCACGAAUGGCGUAAUGAUGGCCAGGCUGUCUCCACCCGAGACUCAGUGAAAUUGAACUCGCUGUGAAGAUGCAGUGUACCCGCGGCAAGACGGAAAGACCCCGUGAACCUUUACUAUAGCUUGACACUGAACAUUGAGCCUUGAUG